Molecule: ribosomal RNA, 499 nt
Filed under: uncultured bacterium
Lineage: Bacteria
Description: bacterial SSU rRNA
Rfam family: Bacterial small subunit ribosomal RNA
Source: RNAcentral
AGGACGAACGCUGGCGGCGUGCCUAACACAUGCAAGUCAAGGGGAAACGGGUAGCAAUAUCCGGAGUACACUGGCGCACGGGUGAGUAACGCGUAGGCAACCUGCCCAUAGGACGGGGAUAAUUCAGCGAAAGCUGGACUAAUACCCGAUGUUGAGACGUCAUCGCAUGGUGGUGUCUUGAAAAGCCCGCAAGGGUGCCGAUGGAUGGGCCUGCGUCCCAUUAGGUAGUUGGUAGGGUAACGGCCUACCAAGCCUGCGAUGGGUAGCUGGUCUGAGAGGAUGAUCAGCCACACUGGAACUGAGACACGGUCCAGACUCCUACGGGAGGCAGCAGUGAGGAAUAUUGCGCAAUGGCCGAAAGGCUGACGCAGCGACGCCGCGUGAAGGGAUGAAGUCCGUUAGGAUGUAAACCUCUUUUGCAGGGGAUGAAUGUCUCGCUAUACGCGGGAUUGACCGUACCCUGCGAAUAAGGAUCGGCUAACUACGUGCCAGCCGCCGC